This 484-nucleotide ribosomal RNA is filed under the name uncultured bacterium. RNAcentral's name for it is "partial 16S ribosomal RNA". It matches the Rfam family "Bacterial small subunit ribosomal RNA", at positions 30 to 507 of the family's 1533-position model. The record is from RNAcentral.
AUUGAACGCUAGCGGGAUGCUUUACACAUGCAAGUCGAACGGCAGCGCGGACUUCGGUCUGGCGGCGAGUGGCGAACGGGUGAGUAAUGUAUCGGAACGUGCCCAGUAGCGGGGGAUAACUACGCGAAAGCGUAGCUAAUACCGCAUACGCCCUACGGGGGAAAGCAGGGGAUCGUAAGACCUUGCACUAUUUGAGCGGCCGAUAUCGGAUUAGCUAGUUUGUGAGGUAACGGCUCACCCAGGCGACGAUCCGUAGCUGGUUUGAGAGGACGACCAGCCACACUGGGACUGAGACACGGACCAGACUCCUACGGGAGGCAGCAGAGGGGAAUGUUGGACAAUGGGGGCAAACCUGAUCCAGCCAUCCCGCGUGUGAGAUGAAGGCCUUCGGGUUGUAAAGCACUUUUGGCAGGAAAGAAACGUCGCGGGCUAAUACCCCGUGGAACUGACGGUACCUGCAGAAUAAGCACCGGCUAACUACGUG